AUGCCACCCGUCGUGGAUGUGCUCCGCUCUAACGCCAUGGCUUGCGAUUCAGCGGCAAAUAACGGAGCCUGCAGAAGGAGCCGCCGGGUCGAGGACCUCCAGUUCGUCAGUCCAACAAAAGGCUAUAGAAAGUUGAUACUAGUUUGCAUUAAGGAUGCAGCAAAAAGCAAGAUUCACAAGUUCAUCUUCUGGAUGCUUUUCAGUACAUCUACUUCCCGUUGCGCCCUGGCCGAUCACAGCCGCCACCGCAGGCCGUUCAACGCCACCUCCAUCAGUAAAUGUUCCACUGAAAAUCAGAAUUUCUACAGAAACUGCUGCAGAUACAUGACUUAUGAGGCUACCAGAGGCUACUACACCUCCAGAUUAUUGACAGCCUGCAACUUACUUGCUUCCAACACACUAGUAACACAUUCUAAGGUCCCAAAUCGGCUACUUCAGAGCGCUGUUGCUAUUCUGUGGGUAAAGGUCCUCAUUUUGUUGAUGGCGGCAUCUUACAAAGAAAAGGAAGUUCGAGAUGGGAACACUUGUUUCAAAUGCUCACCUCCGAUUCGCGAUGCUGCCAACAAGGAAAACCUCUGGGAAGCUCUGCUGGUAGUGCAAUCUCCUAUCCAUCCCAGCUCCAACUUACUGCUGCUAACCAACUGUAUGCAUGUAAUAAAAAAGUAG
This 666-nucleotide ribosomal RNA is filed under the name Triticum aestivum (bread wheat). RNAcentral's name for it is "partial small subunit ribosomal RNA". Lineage: Eukaryota; Viridiplantae; Streptophyta; Magnoliopsida; Poales; Poaceae. The record is from RNAcentral.